This 1183-nucleotide long non-coding RNA is filed under the name Cricetulus griseus (Chinese hamster). RNAcentral's name for it is "lncRNA (ENSCGRG00015034255.1)". The record is from RNAcentral. Lineage: Eukaryota; Metazoa; Chordata; Mammalia; Rodentia; Cricetidae.
CAAUGCCUAAGAAUGAGUUGUCCUCAUCUCUUUGGCUGCUACCAUGAAGUUCCAGUCUGAGUGAUUAAUAAAUAACAGGCAAACCCUUCUUACACUUCUGGAGGUUGGGAAGUCCACAAUCAAGUUGCCAGCACAGUCGGGGCCUAAAGGAUCCGAGUGUCCUGCGUGUAUUUCUUGCUGGCGAGGAAUACAGAGCGGGCACGGGACAUAUGGUGCUGAAACCCGGGACGCUUAACAUCUCCAGCACCACAGAGACCCCUUGGCUACAGGGCGGAUUCAGAACUGCAGGAUGGUAAAUUCGGAGAGGUAUGAUUUUUCUGGACUUUGGCUUGGGACAAUCUUAAAGAAGUCCAAAAUUACAUAUCAGAAACCGAAUGUAAUGAAAGAAAUUCGGAGAGGUAUGAUUUUUCUGGACUUUGGCUUGGGACAAUCUUAAAGAAGUCCAGAAUUACAUAUCAGAAACCGAAUGUAAUGAGAAAAAUUCGGAGAGGUAUGAUUUUUCUAGACUUUGGCUUGGGAAUGUUGCUAUUGUGGGAGGUUAAUAUAGAGGCUUCUAUGCUUUUACUAGGAGCUAUUUUGACUUUUCUCACUGUUGUAACAAUCUUAAAGAAGUCCAAAAUUACAUAUCAGAAACCGAAUGUAAUGAGAGAUGGGGCGCGCCUAACAAUAAAAUAUAAGAAAAAAGGACCUCCCGGGAUGUCUAGUGACAUGGGAGUGUAUGUAAGAAGAGAAACUACAACGUAUAAGAAAAAAGGACCUCCCGGGGUGUCUAGUGACAAGAGAGUGUAUACAGCAACAAAUAAGAAAAAAAGACCUCCUGGAAUGUCUACUGACAAGGGAGUAUAUAAAGCUUUAAAUCUUAAUAGCUCUGAUAACUCUAAAAGCUCAAGAGAUAAAGUUUUAAAAGGAACAGCUCAGCUGGAUGAGGGAGAGACAGAGAAGGAGGGAAAAAGAAUGGGAAAUGGCCGGUCACACCCCGGUAAAUUUAGGAGAGAUGAGGAACCUAGCCUCUGCCCUGCAACGAAACUGAAAGCCUUGGAGCUGAGCAGCUCAGACUCUAAGAUUUUAGACUCUAACAAGGAAGCAGAGCUAGAGAAAGAAGCAGCACGGCCAAAAAUGCCAGCGGGUGUGCUUCCAUCAGCACCCCCACUAUUUGAAACCGACUCCUUCUUACCAUCAGAGG